ACGGGAGGCGACCGUGCUCGCCGUUGGCAGGCUAGGGUUGGCGGCGGCGUAUUCUGUUUGUUUUAAACGAAGGAGCGGAGGGAGGGGCCGCGCCGCGGAGCGUGCCUAAGGUGAAAGGGCUGCCGUGCAGCCAGGCAGAGGCGAGGAAGGCUUCUCCAUCGUCGCCACCGCCCGCCUGUUUCGCCGGCAACAGGUUCCCCCGGGACGGGAGGGGCCGCAGCGCCGCGCAGCUCGCAGCGCUGAACGUCGCGGAAAUCCCUUGGCCGGCCGAGCCUCCGCAGCCGCGACCCGGCUUCUCUCCGUCCGAGUCCCCCGAGCCUCUCCGAACCCCCGUUGGACUUCCCCUCCCUGGCCGGCGCCGCCCGACCCGCUCCCCCAUCCUAGAGGGAAUUCCCUGCGCCGCGGCUGUGAGGCACCUCCACCCCGGCCUGAAAUGCACCGCAGUCCUGAAGGAAAUCCACCCUCAUCCCACGCAGAUUCACCCGCAACGCUGCCUGAAUACGCCUCGCUGCCCACAGAAAUUCCUGCCCAAACCAGACGCGUGGACCACCCAAGACGAAAUUCACACUCGACCCUAGCCCCGCCAGCCCUUGCCGAAAUCACCCUAAACCCGUUGAAAUUAAUUCCCAGCUGUCCGAAUUUUCCUUCCAACAUUAACUGACUACCUGUCUCCGCCAAGCUGACUGAACUCUACCGAACUCUUACCCUGAAAGCCCCUGAGAGUCCAAAAUAUAUUUUUCCAGCCCGAAAUCUAAAUCCCAGUUCUCUGUAUGAAAACCUCCAGAAACCCAGACUCUUACUUCCUUCGGCCACGGACUCGUUCGAACAUCGUGGACAUCACCUUCCCACAUUUUUACCGCAGUCUUUGGCUCCGAUUCUUUGUCCCUGCCUCUUGGGCAGCAUCCUAUCCCUGUUUCUUUCCACCUUUGAGGAUUCCUCUACCUCUUUAAAGGCCUGCUUUCUUUGCUUUCUCUUCUCACCUUUGGCAUUGGCACACUGGGGUCAUAUCUUUAGUUCCCUUGACUCCACCAUCUAAGCCAAGGGUGUCCAAUCUUUUGGCUUCCCUGGGCUACAUUGGAAGGAGAAAAAUUGUCUUGGACCACAUAUAAAAUAUUCUAACGCUAAUGGUAGCUGAUGAAACUUUUAAAAAAUCUCAUCAUGUUUUAAGAAGUUUACGAAUUUGUGCUGAGCCGCAUUCAAAGCCGUCCUGGGCCUAAGUCCUUGCUAUUUUUCCUCUUCAAUUUCCUUCAAUCCAUAGUUCUCUAGGUUAUUUUCCCACCCUUUCCCAAGAUUCGGAUAUCCCUUCAUUCUUGCUGAGUUCAUCUCCUAUGCCUAUUCCUACAUACUUGCUGAGUUCAUCUUCUAAUGUCCUCAUCCUGGUUUCUUCCUGAACCUGAAAUCCAGCUAACCUUACUUUUUCAUCCCAUCAAACCCCUGCUGUUGCCAGCCCAGCACUCACGAAGAUCUUUACAUACACCAAAUAUUAAAUUAGGGCCGGUACCUAGACAUUGUCUCUGCACUCUGCUGGCAUAUUUUCCCCUGGACCACGAACCCUUCGUACCUAGUAACUUGCCACCUGUGUUUAUAAAUACCAGCAAUUUGAUUUACAGGGUGAAUUUGUCACUAUUGUUUACUUUUAAAUGAAGUUACUGUAUUUGUUGUUUCCAUUAAAGGCGACAUUAUAAAGCCUAGGCCUCAUAUCCAAAGCAAAUAAAGUCUCAAUUUUUUAAUUAAAAGUAACAAAAGGAAACCUCACACUUCUGAACAACAAUGACAAGAAGGAAUGCCUAUAAUUGGUUUGGGUCACAAUGUACAUAUUGAAAUAAAAUUUUUAUUAAGUAUCAACUUCCAGGUACACAAUGAAGUUUUAAAUGUUUAUCUGUGACAUAUGAAGAACAAAGCAAUCUAAACUGAUGUAAGCAGGCUGUCAUA
Molecule: long non-coding RNA, 1932 nt
Filed under: Homo sapiens (human)
Lineage: Eukaryota; Metazoa; Chordata; Mammalia; Primates; Hominidae
Description: non-protein coding lnc-PCSK9-1:4
Source: RNAcentral